GGGUCAGUAUGCAUAGCUGGUGAUUGCAGCGGUCCGUAAAACCGUGACAUCAGAAACACCGUUGGUUCGAGUCCAACCUGACCCACCA
Molecule: transfer RNA, 88 nt
Filed under: Oscillospiraceae bacterium
Lineage: Bacteria; Bacillati; Bacillota; Clostridia; Eubacteriales; Oscillospiraceae
Description: tRNA-Tyr
Rfam family: tRNA
About the family: Transfer RNA (tRNA) molecules are approximately 80 nucleotides in length. Their secondary structure includes four short double-helical elements and three loops (D, anti-codon, and T loops).
Source: RNAcentral